This 200-nucleotide unclassified non-coding RNA is filed under the name soil metagenome. RNAcentral describes it as "partial contains internal transcribed spacer 2 and large subunit ribosomal RNA". The record is from RNAcentral.
CCGUUCGAGCGUCAUUAAAACCACUCAAGCCUGGCUUGGUAUUGGGCGUCGGGAUCUCCUCGCGCCCCAAUUUCGCCGGCGAGACUUUCCGAUCGCGAGCGUUAUGAUAUUCAACUCGCGAAGCAUCUGGCAAUGUUUCCGCCGCUAAACUUCAAUCAAAGGUUGACCUCGGAUCGGGUAGGGAUACCCGCUGAACUUAA